This is a long non-coding RNA of Urocitellus parryii (Arctic ground squirrel), 599 nucleotides long. RefSeq lists it as uncharacterized. NCBI's taxonomy places the organism in Eukaryota, Metazoa, Chordata, Mammalia, Rodentia, Sciuridae. The record is from RefSeq and is a predicted model, not a curated record.
UCCUGCCUCAGCCUCCAGAGCCACUGGGAUGAUUCGCAYGCACCACGGCGCCCAGCUCCGUAUGCAAAAUUACAGAGGACAAAAAAAGAAGAUAGAGAAGAGAGGAGAAUUGCUGGAUCCACAUCCUACUGACUGCAAUCAAGAAGCGACGGGGACCCUGUGAGAGAUGCCAACAUCAUGUCACAACUUUUGAUAAAUCCUCACAUCUACGAUUCCCAGGAUUCAUUCAUUUAUAUGCYAUCUUCUUGAUUUGAUGUGUGUACCAUCUAUAAUAUUACUUUGUCAAUGCUCUUCCUUCAAGAGACUCUUGGUAGAAAUCUGAAAAUUUCCUUAGSCUCAUUCAAAAUAAUGCUAUUCCAGAUAAAACUGACUUAAAUUUCUAGUAAUAWUUUUUUUGGUAAACAUUAAAAUAAGUACAUAACUAUCAAAAUAGAAAAUGUUUGUCCACGUACCUCUGAAAAAUCAUCUCUUGCAUUUGUACCAGGCUUUGGGAACACACCGCACUUGGUUGUCAGGAUCUGAAAGAACAGACAUUUUGGGGGUCUCUGGUGGUCCUGCUGAGCUGGGAGGAGAGAGACAAGGAGUUCAAAAACAUUUGG